Molecule: non-coding RNA, 12357 nt
Organism: Equus caballus (horse)
Lineage: Eukaryota; Metazoa; Chordata; Mammalia; Perissodactyla; Equidae
Source: RefSeq, a predicted model, not a curated record
UGAUGUGGUUGAAGCUGUCAUCGUAAUGGAAAUUCAUUGCUGUAGCUAUGGUAAAUCGAGUUUUCUGCCUGUGCUGAAUGCAUUAGUCUAAUGAGAUGUUUGCAGCCGGAGAGCAGGGCUGCUGGAGACUAACUGUGAGCUCCUAACACACGGGUGGAAGAUUAGCUUUUGCAAUACUCGGUUUGGGUGUACUGAAAGUCAUCUGUCUUCUGAGUCAACAUUCCCGGCCUGGUAAAGAACCAGAUCAGUGCUCUGGUGAACGAGCUGUAGGUUUUCUCGGUUGCAUGCCUCCGUCUCCGGCAAUGCACGAGUGUCCUGAAGUAAAACCACUGCGGCCGGCAGCACCUCUUCUGCCUGUGAGCGAUUUGUCACUUCCUUCUGUAAGACUGGCACCAGCAGACAUGCAGUCUCAGAGGAUCCCGGGGAGGAAGCGAGGCCGACCCCCACUUCACUCAACACCUAUGAAGAUGGCAGUUCAUAAUCUUUAUUCUGCUUCAGCUGGUUCUUUACCAGCAGUGAAGAUCCCAAAGAAAAGAGGGCGGAAACCCGGGUACAAGCUCAAGUCUCGGGUUCUCAUGACUCCUUUAGCCCUCUCCCCUCCACGGAGUACGCCGGAGCCCGACCUCAGCUCCAUCCCUCAGGAUGCAGCCACCAUACCCAGCUUGGGGGCCCCACAGGCUCUUACAGUCUGCCUCUACAUCAACAAGCAAGCCGACGCAGGGCCGUACCUGGAGAGGAGGAAGGUGCAGCAGCUCCCUGAGCACUUCGGGCCCGAGAGGCCAUCGGCAGUCCUGCAGCAGGCCGUGCAAGCGUGCAUCGACUGCGCCCACCAGCAGAAGCUGGUCUUCUCCCUGGUCAAGCAGGGCUAUGGUGGUGAGAUGGUGUCAGUCUCGGCAUCCUUUGAUGGGAAACAGCACCUGCGGAGUCUGCCCGUGGUGAAUAGCAUCGGGUAUGUCCUCCGCUUCCUCACCAAGCUGUGCCGAAGCCUUCUGUGUGAUGACCUCUUCAGCCACCAGCCCUUCCCCAGGGGCUCCAGUGCCUCCGAGGAAGCCCAGGAGACCAAGGAAGGCAGGAUGGAGCCAGCAAAAACAGUCAACACUGACGAGUGCCUGGUGAACCCUGUGAGCAUGAACCGCUACAGCGUGGACCCCUCCACCUCCGCCUUUAGCCACAGGGGCUCCUUGCCCACCUCCUCCUCGCUGUACUGCAAGAGACAGAACUCUGGAGAAGGCCACCUUGGGGGCCCAGCCACCACCACUGGUGGUCCUCGUACCAGCCCCAUGUCCUCUGGAGGCCCCUCAGCACCUGGGCUGAGGCCCCCAGGCUCCAGCCCCAAGAGAAACGGGACCUCUCUAGAGGGAAACAGAUGUGUAGCCCUGACAGGCUGCAGCGAUGAGCUAUUGUGUAUGAUCCAGGAUCUCCCACACGCUCCCCAGAAGAGCCUCAGCCAUCCCAGACCAGCCUCUGCUGGCUGCGACUGGAGAGGACCAUUGGCCAGGAGGAAGAUGUGAGUGGGCAGAGCCCAUUUUCCAGAGGGGAGAGACAUUGUUCCAUAUGAUUUCUAAGAACAAGAGAAAGGAACAAGAUCUGGCACAAACCAACAUCUUAAAGUAAAUGGGGGUCAGCAUUUAUUUCCUAGGUUUAUCCCCAAAGUUAGCAUAAUUUCUGGCAUAUAGUAGGUGUUCAAUAAACGCUCAUUAUCUCUGUGCCCCUCCACCCCACUCCACAGUGCCCAGUGUCCUCAUGUUGCCCCUGGUUGUCAAAACUCUCAUCCUCACGUCCCAUUGCCCUUUACAUGUCUCUUUCUCUCAACCUCCUCUUCUCAGCCCAAUUCCCAUUUGCUCAGGGUGGUGAUCACAGGACACCACAGUGAUGCAGUUGACUCACAAUCCUAAGAGUGUUGCCAUUUUUCAAAAAGGAGAUAUUUACUCACCGUCCCUGUGUCUUAAGUAUAGGGUUUCAAGCAGUAGGAAGAAGACACAAUUUGGGUGGAGAGGACAUCUAUCACUUGCUGAAGAAUUGUCUUUUCCAUCCCAGUCCAUCUGGUGCCCCUGGAUGAGGGGGAAUCCAGGACCUUCAAAGGUGUCUCAAGGUCACUCCCCUCCCCAGUCCUUCCUGCCUCCUUCCAGUGAAGCCCUGGGAUGCCCUCCCAUCCCAGAUUCAGCAACCCUCCUGUCCCUCAUUUUCAUUUUCUCCCCAGCCCUUUGUUCUCUUAUUUAGAAUUAGACCCUGUUCAACUGUCUGAGUAAUCUGUCCAACAGGAGGCCCAGACCCUCACUGGGAACCAGUUCUGAGAAAACCCUCUCUGGCAGAGCCCUGGUUGCACCCCAGAAGAGCCCCACUAGCUGAGGACUUCUGCCUCUCAGGAUCUGGGGUGAGAUAGAGAAACGGAGCCCACCAGUGCCUGCUGCCUUCCACUCUAAGCAAACCCCUAACUGUAUCCUGAAUGCUGAUUAUCUCUUUACAGAUUAGAAACAUUAGUGAGAACUUUGCCUGACACCCUGAAAAUGAGAGUUGUUCAUAACCAGUAGGACCCCACAGGGCUGUGGGACGUUCAGAAUCACACAGCCACUCAGUCUUCUUGGAAUAAAGCUGCUGAGGGAUGUAACAGUGGAAGUUCAUUGCUGAGCCUUUGUGAUACACUGAAGAAGAAUGAAGCUAUUCCCCCUUCAUAGGUGCAUUGACUCCUUAAUGCUCCAAAGAUUCCUUUUAACCAGUCAGGGCCUUCUUCAGGGUGCUCAACAGAACCACAGAUACUGGAAAGAGCCAGCCAACCAGGCACGUUCUCAGCAUCAAGAUGGCAGAAGAGGGUGGGGAGAAUAAGAGGACAGAGGGCAGUGCUGGCAUCAUUUUCCACUUCUUCUUACAUCUCAUUGGCUGGAAUUUAGUCACAUGGCCACUAGCUGCAAGAGAAGCUGGAAAAUAUGGUUUCAGUUCUAACCACCCAUGAUCCCAGCUGGAAAUCAGGAAUUCUACUACAAAGGAAGAAGUGGACAAAAGAUAUUGGGGAGACCACUGGCAGGCUCAACCACUCCUCCUCAUUGGAAAGUUUCUUCCCCUCCUGUUUCCUCCCAUGGCACUUGUUUCCUCAUCUCUAGUGCAUCCUCUCUCCUAGGCCAUUGCAGGAGCCGGACUCUCAGCUACAUGAGGUCUGUUGCUCACGUUUGAAUCCUCCACAGCCCCAGAAAAGGGGCCUGCUUGUUUGAGGCAUAUACCAAAUAGCUAUUUAUUAAGCACCUACUAUGGGCCAGACAUUUUCCACACAUUAUUUAUGACAUAAUAUGAGUUAUACUUUACAAUUUAUUAUUAUAGUAGGUGUAUAUUAUUACACGGGGUAUUAUUAUAUUCGAUUUACAGAUAAAGAAAGUGAAGAUCAAGAGAAGGUCAGUCAAGUAUUCGUCCAGGAUUUGACUUCAAUUGCCCCAAAAGCUUGUGUCUUUCAAAACUACCCCAGGGAUUUUCAAACUAUGCUCAGUGGGCUUUGAGGGGCCCCUCUGCAGUUCUAGGAGACGGGGAAGAGGGGAUGGGAGCAGACAGGACCCCAACGCCCCACCCUCUUUAAGCAGGGCCUCUUCACGGUUGCAGGGUGGGGUUCUCUGUCUGCUUUGCCUGAACAAAGUUUGCACAGUUAAAUACAUUUGGAAGUCGUGGAGAUAAACCACGCUGAACUGAGCGGCAGUAUAUUAGAGUAGGAGAGAAAAUCACUGGCCUCCUUACCCAUUUGUCACCUGGCUGCCAGUCAGGGUGCCUGCUGUGGACCCUCUGGAGGGCUAUUAAGUUUUCCUUCCGCCCAAAGAAGUGCUCAGUAUUGCUCUGAAAUUGCAUCCCAAGUGAAAGCAGUUGGUAUUAAGAAACCAUACCUCUUUAAGAGGGUUUGACCCAAGUCAUAAACCCUGGAAGGAACCUAGAAAUGGAUUUUCCCCCACGGUGCUAAUCAAAAUAGUUUAAAACCACAGAAGCCAGAAAGCUGCAUGAGGCUGCAGGAAGGAGGGGCGGUGUCGGUGACAUGACAAACUUCUCAGCCUUCUCUUCUGUGAAUGCUUACCCUGGCCUCCUGCUGUCUUGAUGUGUUGUACCUGCUGCCUCAGCCAGUGGAGUCUGAAGGGAUGUAUUCACAGGACACAUUUCCCUGGUUUUUGCUGAUACUCAGGUGAAAAUUCGAGAGCUCUUCCCUGUCUCUCAUUCAAGAUAUAAUCACCUAGAGCUAUAAAGAGGUUUUGGAUAGCAAAAGCUUCCUGAUUUUUGCAUUUAACAGGAUGUGCUGUAGAAUUCCCAACCACAACCAGGUCCAAGCUUCAGAAUCAAGAUACAAAGUAAAUCUGACAUUGUCGUUGCCACCCAAGUGUUUCCCAUGGGUUGGACUUUGCUUCUAUAGGGUAUGGCAUUGGGUGAUGGAUAGUCUUCUUAGCCAGAAAAAGAAGAAUGGAGACAGUGCUGUCUGUGAGGCAGGUGGAAUGAAAAGGUGUGGCAAGGGUUUCUUUAUGCUGGGGAAAGAAAAUAGGUUGAGCAGGGAUGCUGGGGGAAAUCAUGUUGGGAGAUUGGGGUCCAUGUCAUGUAUAUUGGGCUUUAGUCUGUGGAAACCAGACAUUUCUGAACAGGGAAGUGAGCUGAUGGCCACAGGAUAUAGGAAGAUAAAUGUAUUGGUGAUUAUGGAAUGACGUAUGAUAAGAAGAAGAAGAAUAGCAACCACCUUUUGAUUAAUUCUUACUGUUUAAUGUUUCACAUGAUUCCAUUUAAUCCUCCCAACAUGGUAGGUGUUUGACAGGUGAGGCAACUAAGAUUCAGAGAGAUUUGGGUCAGUCCGUGCCAGCAGAUACCUACUGAGCACAAUAUGCUAGGGGCUCGUCUCAGGUCUAAGGAUGGAGCUGUGAGCAAGAGAGGUGUGGGCCCUGUUCUCUCACAGUGUGUAAUUCCAAAGAGACGAACGUUAAUAACAAAUGAUAUUGCACAAACUUACAACCAUGACUAUUGCUCCAAAGGAAAAGAAUGGAUGCCGUGAGAGAAUCAGAUCUGAGAACCCCUCCCUCAAGGAGGGAGUCACUGAGCCUACUCUGACAAGUCAGGAAAGGCUUCCCAGAGAAGUGACAGUGGCGCCACCUGGAAGGCGAAGCUCAGCAGGCGCAGUGGGGAAAGGGGUGGCUGGAGGCUUCCUGGCAGAGGUCAGAUUGCCUGCCCAGAAUUCACAGUGUCUCUGGUGGCAGAGAAGGAAUCCAGCCCAGCCUGGCCUCAUUUCAAGCCUGUGGUCUCUCCUUGUCUCUAAAGACAUCCUUUCUUCUGAUGCAGGCAUGUCAGCUUUGAAGGAAUAAAAGAAAAACCUGAAUAAAAUCUAAGGAUUGGUCAGGCUCUCUUCUAUCUCCCAUCUCUCUCACCUCUUAGUGUCUUGAAAAUUAUUGGACUAGAAAUAAUGAAAAACACACUGUUUCAAACUAUCUGAUGUUGCCCAGAUUGUGGGCUAGCCUGGGCACCUCACACACUCUAUAUGGCCUUGUUUCUAGGAUGGAUACAUCCUGCAGGGACCAGGUUGCUCAGAGGAGCUGAGAACAGAUCUACCCUCCCCUUGCCUUCACGCCCAUUGCCUCCCAACGCAGCUCCAGCUGCCAGAGAGGCUGAGAGGGCGAGGGACUUACAGUUGGCCUGAUGAAGGAUACGGAGGGGUCACUCUUGGAGGCUGACGGGCUUCCCUUCUAGAUGCCAAUUGUCAGGCUCCAGCCCAAAGCCACAUAGUCACUUGAUUCCUUCAAUACUCCUGAGAAACAAGACAAAGAAACCGAGGCCCAAAGAGCAUGAUCAGGGCCCAGAAGGGGCUAGAAGCCUGGCUGUUGGCUUUUUGUUCAGUGUGCUUUGCACACGGACUCAGUGUGAAAAGGUAACUCCUUUCGUGUUGCACAGGACAGCCUGUGGUGUGAAGGGACCGUCCAGCAUCACAGGUGGGAGGGCGGGACCUUAGCGACCCCUCCCAACUGCCUUAUUUCACGCUGGAGAAGCACAAAGACGCUCACAUAGCUGGUGGCAGGGAGGGAUUUCUGACUCCCAGCUCAUUGCUCACUCCAUUCUUCCACACAACUCUGCUGUUAGCUAAAAAGUUGUCUCUGAAUUACAAACGAGCAAAGGAAAUUAUGUGUGUGCUUGUGGGUGUAUGUGAGACCAAGACAGACUCACGGAGGGCAGUACGAGUACCUGUGCUGUGAAAUUGACCCAGAUUGCUUUAAACACUGAGUCAUAGUCAUCCUAUUCUUGAUGAAUGUGAGUUCAGCUUUAGAAACAACAACCACUCUCUUUAAUUACACAUCCAUUCACAACUGGGUGUCACUUUUCACAUGUCUCUGGCAGCCCGGUGAACACAUAUGACAAUACACAAAGUUCUCCAUGCUCGAGAAUACCGCCUUCCCAGAAGGGCGUUGGGCGAGCGCUUUGCAUGCUCUGUUCCUUUAGGAGCAACAUUUUUUCACAUCCAUCAUGUCUUACCGCUGUCCAGUCACAUCUGCCUGGCCUGGUGGUGUCAGAAGGUGUCUUCCUGACACCUUCACAGCAGCUGGAGGGGGCCAGUGUCGUUAUUAUCGUUGUGAGCACAGACCACUGCAAAGGCUUUACAAACCUGCCACUGGAAAGUCUCAUUUCUAGAGCGAGUUUACGUGCUUUGGAUCUUGAGCCACUAUGGAGGCGUGGCAGGCUCCCUGCAGCUCUCUGUCUUGUAUGACUAAAGGACCCCCUCAGAGAGGUUCUUGAGCCGAGCCCGGCUGCUGCUGCUCCGUCCUGGAAAAGUGAAAAAUGCCCAGAGCAAGCACCAGGCAUCAGGAGCGAAGCCACUUUCCCGACUGGGCUGUCUCCCUCCGCAGCCAUCACCCGGAGAGCUCCUGCAUAAAGACACAGCAGCCCCCUUGCUCAGCCCCAAAAUGAUUGUGGCUGAUGGGAAAGUACUUCUUUGACCUGGCGGGAGGGAACUUGGGCUCCCGUGGGUGGUGCUGCGAAUCGGUCUGGUAUUCUUCCUUCCCAUCAAACACAGGAAAUUAGAUUUGACCUCUGCUCUGAUCACUCUAAAAUCAUUCUAGUACUGAAGACUUCCAGCCUUUGUAAUCAGAGCAUCUAUUAUCACCCUGAUUAACGCCGACGCUCCGAUGGAGUGGAAUCCAAAGGCGAACGCGAUUCCCGUGACUCCUCGUCCGCACGUUGAAGGCAGAUGUCUUCAAAUGCAGUGAAAUCAUCUCUAAUGGGCGUGCAUCAGCAUUCAGCUGGCCACAGGGUGCCCUAACAGUUUCCCAGCAAAAUGACCCAUGCCAAACCACCCCAGGGGACCCCUCCAGGUCCAACAAGGAAGAGGCAGGGAAAAUCGCAAAGUAAAUCCGAUUCUCGACCAAACCAUUAUGUAUGUAGGACAGACUCAGAAAUGCAAGGCUGUGCUUUUCUCAGCACCAAUGGAGAACUGCAAUUCUCAAGCACAUUGAAAAAAAGGAAAACAGAGAUGGCAGAAAACUGCUGCACCCUGAGACUAGAAGGGAAAAGGAAGUGACGGCUUCUCAACUUCCACCUCAGAAUUAUUCCGGAGGGAAGCUGCCUCGGUGCUCAGAGCCUUGGCUUUUUCUGGCCUGAAAAUGGGAUUAAGAAUUAUCCAUACAUAAGUUAUUUGUACUGUUUCUGCAAAGCAUAUUGAUUCAUUUAGCAUUUAUCGAACUCAUAUUUACAAACGUAUUUACUUAGAGCCAUGGAGGAGCCAAUGAUUAUAACCCUUGUGAUGAGAGGAUCUCAUUUUUCGCCACUUUGCCCAGUACACUGUACAGAGAGAUGCUCAGUAGAUGUUCGUGGAAUGAAUGAGAGGCAGACGAAAAUGAUCGUGGUGAGUCCAUUCCGACUCCUAGCGACCCUGUGCACAGCAGAACAGAAUCCUGUCUGGUCUUUUUUUGCCAUCCUCUCACCUUUCUGGCACUGUAUUAGACAGUGCUCAGCUGCUAUUCAUAAAAUCCUCAAGAAAUUGAAAUCCAGCUGGAGGUUGCAGACAAGUACAUGCAUAAUUGUAAUAUGCGGAACAUAGGAAGCAUCUUAAAGGAAGAACAAAGAUUUGGGGGUUUAAGGUAGAGGAAGGUGGCAUCCAGAUGGCAGGACACAGAAAUGCUGCCUGUGAAGGGGUCUACCUGGGCUUUCACAGCCAGCGGAACCUCUGUGGAAAGGAGGAAGGGUAAACGCCUUCUAGAGAGAGGCACAGCUAAAGGAAGAGAGCCAGCCCUGGUGGUCCAGUGGUUAAGAUUCGGUGCUCAGGUCACAACCAGUGUGCCCAGAUCGGGCUGUGCAGCAGGGCAGGGGAGGCAGGCAGGGUGCCAGGCGCCUCCUUCCCUCUGUGGAGCACCUGAUGCAGGUCAGCCAUAGGGCCAGGCCCAUUUCCGUCCUCACACCUGCCCUUCCAGGUGGAGAGCAUUGCCAUUUUACAGCUAAUGAGCUGAGUCAUGGCCAAAUCGCUAGCAAAGGGCAGCUUCAGGGUUUGUCUCAAAGCCCUUCGGCUCCAUGUAGGAAGGAAAAAGGGUCCUUGACAUUGAGCUAUGGACUCAUUGCACAGGCAGGGGGCAUCCAUGAGGAGCUGAGUGGAGGGAGAGCACGAGGCAGUGGCAGUUUUGCUCCAGAAGGAAAGGAGCCCAGGCAGGGAGACCCAUUAGAAAACCACUGCGGGGCUUUGGGAGAGAGGUUCCCGGAUUGGGGCAGGGCUGGAAGCGAGGAGAGCGGUGUGAGAGGCAUCCUUCCAAGAGCUUCAGAAGACUUGAAUGUGAGGAGCGAAUCAGGCGCAGGAGGUAGAGACAUCACAGAGGUUUCAGAAACAUGAGAGAGAGGAGGAGAAGCUGGUUCUGGAGAAAGAGGAGGAGUUAGUUUGGGACAUAGAAAAAAACGUCACCUCUAAAUAUUGCCGGGCAUCUGAUUCAUUACUCUCCUCCUCUCUCACUUGUCCGGCAUCUUUUAAUCUGCCGUGUGGGAAACGCUUUAUGCCACAGUGCAACUCAUGCACCAAUCAUUUCUCAAGGACAAGCUAUGGAUCAGGCACAGGAUUAGGCCCUUUGCUGUCCAGUGGGGAGAUUGGAGUAAGUGCUCUCCAGACCAGAGGCAGUGGAGGCACUCGGUGUGUACCAGGGGUGGUGAGUGAGAUGAGGGCUUCUUUCUGCACAUGCGGAGCAGGGAAUGGACCCCUCACAGACUGGGCUUCCAAGGACGUGGCAUCAGAGACCCAGAUGGAGGACCAAAAUGCACCUCAAUUCUGCCGCGUCUUUAUUGUCUCAGUGUAACGCCAGUGGAGGCAGAAAGGACUCGAAGUCAUUUUGGCCUCAUAACUCUAGAAAGACCUGUUUGGACAUUCAUCUUAGCAAGCUUUCUCUGGUCACCAAGUAUCUGGUUAUAGGAGGCCCAGGACCCACUGAGACAGAACUCAGCAAAGGGGUCUUUAAAACUGUAGCGUGAAUCAGAAUUUCAGCUGUUGAGGGAGGUCCGUUUUCUAAUGCUUCGUUCCCUGGGAGAGCAGAGAGCUUUUGCAUAGAUGGGGAGGGUCUGCCUCCAGGAGUGGCCUCCCGUGCUCCAGGCCCCUGACGAGAGGAGCCACUCACAGCCUUCCUCUGUCACAGGAGGUCGCUCAGGCCACCAUCUUGGACUUGAGGGCCAGGUGGGAGCAGGCAGCACCAAGUAGGCGCUGAGGCCCUUUUCCCAGUGUCUGAUGGCUCCCCUCUCUGUCCUCACCCAUCCAGCCUCAAGCCCUUCUCCAGACGGGCAGGACGCCAGGCGGCCGAGGAGCAGGAACCCCUCCACCUGGACCGUGGAGGACGUGGUCUGGUUCGUGAAAGACGCCGACCCACAGGCUCUGGGGCCUCACGUGGAGCUCUUCAGAAAGCAUGAGAUUGAUGGCAACGCACUCUUGUUGCUGAAGAGCGACAUGAUCAUGAAAUACUUGGGCCUGAAGCUGGGACCUGCGCUGAAACUCUGCUACCAUAUUGAUAAGCUGAAGCAAGCCAAGUUCUGAAGGUUUUGGAAAGAUUGAAGCAAAGUCCAGACAAGAGAUCUCAAGAUCAUCUUCUGCCUUACCCACACCCGGCCACCAUCUCAAAGUAGAUUCUCUUCUUAAAAAUAACAGCCACAAAGACUUGGUCUUUUUAUAAAACUUGUGCGUCUUUGCCUUUAAAAAAAUUCAACAUGGCCCUUUUGAAAGGCUCCUUUGUGUUAAUGAUUUGCCAAAAAAUUGCAAAAAAACCCCACCAACCCUAUUGUUUUUAACAUCCCAGAUAGGUUGGUUGCUCUUAGAGUGGGUCCUAUUUUUAUAACGAGAGAGUGGGGAACUGAUUGUUAUCGCUCAAGGAGAAGGAUGAGAGAAGGUGCGAAAAGGACCUUUGUCUCUGAGGCUCCUCAGGGACGCCCACCGCAGCAUCACCUGUCUGUGCCGCUGACCCGGGGACCUAUCAUUGUGAGCCUCGCUUGAUUCAGCUCUGGAAGCUGUCUUCUGAGGACAAAUGCCUCACCUUGCACUAUCUGGAAAACUUGAAUUCUUUUGCUCUCUGAAAGAGAAGAAAAAUCUUUUCUGUUCUUAGUUAUCUGAAGUACUGUGUCGCCCCACUAGAGGGCAGACUGCUAAUGAAUUUUGGAGACCCUCGCUGCAGUAGCCUGGUAGUUCGGUACUCGGUGGCUGGGUUAGGGUUUCUGUGAACAAGAUCUAGCUCACACAGACAUAGGGAAUUUAUUCCACAGUCAGCACCACAGAUUGCAACUUGGGAAGAAACUGUCUUCUAGAAGGUUCUAGUUCAUAUCCAAUCGUUAUUGACUGACUGAGACGUACAUGCAGCUAAGGCAAGAAUUUGGAAGUACAUUCUUCCCAGAUGGGGCUUUGGAGCUCCUUCCCUUCCAGAGUCCUUACUGAGGUGUCGAUGUGCUGGCACGCUGAAGAGUCUUGGUGACAUUUAUCCAUGAGUUUUUCUUUAAAAAAGAGGAAGAAAAAUGUCUCAACUAAGCUUUGAAAUGGGAGAGUGUUGAUUUCUAGUUACAUUGCUGGAUUAUGUAGUUGUAUCUGUGGCUAAUUUUUCUAGUCCUCAACAAAUACACAGACAUGCUCUUAUUGGGUUUAAUUCAAUUUACAAAUAGGUUUUCCUUCCUCACUGUGGCGUAAUAGAAAAAAAUUGAUUUUCUACCCCUCUGCAGCUGUGUACAGGGAAGGACGAUGAAUCCACAAUUCACUAGGCAGAAGGGCAAUCUUGUCUCCCUUCUUUUUAUCUUUUCCCUUUCUCUCUUUCCCUCUGUCCUUUUUUCUUUCUCUCUCAUUCAUCAGGAAACAUAUCUUCAAAAUGAAUUCAGCUUUGCCAUGGGCAUAUCCUCUUCCUUAAAAAACAUCCAUAGAGUUGGAGGUGAGGAGAUGAAUACUAGCCUUUGUGAUCUCUGGGAGAGUGAGGAUCAAAAGGAAACUCAGGACCUCCCUUGGCCCAAAUGCAGAUUAGAAUACACACACCUUCCUCCGGGAGGCAGCCUGAGCAGGGGUCUCGGCUGGUGAGUGGAGCAGGGUGGGACUCAGCUCCCUCACCCCUCAGCUGGGUGCCCUUGUGCAGGACACGACCUGUACCAACUCGAGGGCAGCCCUGGGUAGAUUUGCAUAUUGAUCCUCUGUAAGUCAGUUAGAACUUAGACGAAGAUGAUAAAUAUUUCACACCCUGCUGUUAGACCUGCUUUGAGGAGCAAUAUUUGAGAAAGCACAUCACAGCAAAAGCCUUUUUAGACACACAAAUAGUGGCUGGACUUCAGGCAUGACAGAGAAGGAAAGGAGGAGAAAGUCCUAAACCUUCCACAGAAUUGAGCCUGAGUCGUCUGGUUGGAAGGGCUUAAUGUCUGCUGGUUUUGGCCCCUCACCAAACGGCCCUGAAUCAGGGCUUGGGAAAGAGUCUAAAAGAUUCUGAAGUGAUAAAUGGACUCUGUCCGUCAAAGUUUGAUAAUUGUAAGUGCUCACUGCUGGUCUGGAAUGAGAUCAUCUCACUCAAAAAGCCAUGGAUACUUUAUGUCGUCAGAACUGCCAGUGUGAAAACAGUGAGGUCCAGAAAACGCCAGGACAGCCCAGGUUUCUCACGCCGCUAUUUUUGCUAAAUGCUAGAACUUGUGGCGCCUCUUCCACCAGCGUGUGUCUUGUUUAGAGUCUUGAAGAUCUUCCUACCCAGCCUCACUAAUGGCUCCCUCACCGCAAAAACCUGAACCUUCGUGCCCCCAAAUUAAAAUCGUACUCCAACAUCGAAGAUAUUUUGAGUAGUUUUCAAGGGAGAGAUACUUCCCCAUCUCAAGUCUAAGAGAAAACUGGAUCCGUGUUCCUGUGGAACUGUCUCACAGAGGUGCUAUCUCAUUUUGCAUUAAACUUUAAGCGGGACA